UCCACUGUCAAGUUAUUUCAAGUUAGGAGAAUGAAUUGAUUGAUGUACAUAACUCUCUGUGGGUUCAGGAAUACCUGCUUGAAUGAACCAACUCGAAUAGUACAAAUCAACACGCCUUGGUCUAUCUCGCCUUGGGACAGAAGAGCAUUGAACACCCUGGUUUAAUCAGGACAACAAAAAAAUGGGAACUGCACAAACACCACGUUCACAACAUUAUUCACCAUGUGAAACUUUCAAAGUUGUCACAGAAGAGUAGACCAUGGAGAUGUUUUGUCUCUUCUCACCUUUCUUACCCAAUGCAACACCAUUGCUCCUGUGGCGGGGCACUCGUCUAGAAUCGAUGCAUGCACCAUCAUAUCAUCCCAUUUCAGGCGAAACUCAUCGUCCCAGAAGAAGUCCCUCAACAACUCUGGCGUGGCGUCUUCAUAAACCGUUCUGCUACAAUACUGAGGAGGACCAGUCUAGCCAAAACAGCCAAGAGAAAUGAAUCAGCAUUCCAUCUAUUUAAACAAGAGUUUCAUAUACACAAAAGGAAACCUUGACCAAAGUUAUGGAUUAUGGAUUACCUUUGGAUCCCUCUGCCAUGCCUGAUAACUCAAACCGGGGAUAGAACGAUCCAUCAUAUGCUUCCAACAUGGCCCUCCAUCUCUUCUCUCCACAAGAUGGCAAAAAUGUUCUAAAUCCUCAUCCGUAAUAACAUUAAUAUUCGCUCUUUCA
Molecule: long non-coding RNA, 717 nt
Organism: Ipomoea triloba (trilobed morning glory)
Lineage: Eukaryota; Viridiplantae; Streptophyta; Magnoliopsida; Solanales; Convolvulaceae
Exons: 2
Source: RefSeq, a predicted model, not a curated record